This is a long non-coding RNA of Paramisgurnus dabryanus, 378 nucleotides long. RefSeq lists it as uncharacterized. Lineage: Eukaryota; Metazoa; Chordata; Actinopteri; Cypriniformes; Cobitidae. The record is from RefSeq and is a predicted model, not a curated record.
GUUACUUACAGAAAACAGUCACCAAGUACAGUCCAGCUAAGCCAGGAAACCGGACCAGAGAAUGAAUUGAUGCCAUGUGUUUGAACCACAGUGCUCAGGAGGAAGGCUUCCUUACUUGAGGACUGCUUCAGGAUGUAGAAGGAACAAUGUCACCUGAGAUCCUGUGGCAGAUCAUGAUGGGAGUAGUCAAGGUUGAUGGCGAUGUGGCUGUCUUGAGGCUUGCAUUCAAAUGCUAGAUGUUUAGGGACAUUGUCAGUUAGCCCAAAUUUAAAGAACAGGCUCACUUUUUGUGGCUUGACAGUAAGUUCUUUAAAUCCUUAAUGUGGAGUACUCUAAAAAUUAUUUAAGAAAACUCUUUGUCUGUCUACAUCUUUAUUC